RNAcentral lists this ribosomal RNA (1490 nucleotides) under uncultured Bordetella sp. RNAcentral describes it as "partial 16S-23S ribosomal RNA intergenic spacer". It matches the Rfam family "Bacterial small subunit ribosomal RNA". The record is from RNAcentral. Lineage: Bacteria; Pseudomonadati; Pseudomonadota; Betaproteobacteria; Burkholderiales; Alcaligenaceae.
GAGUUCGAUUAUAGCUCAGAUUGAACGCUGGCAGGAUGCUUUACACAUGCAAGUCGAACGGCAGCACGGACUUCAGUCUGGUGGCGAGUGGCGAACGGGUGAGUAAUGUAUCGGAACGUGCCUAGUAGCGGGGGAUAACUACGCCUGAAAGCGUAGCUAAUACCACGCGCGCACUACGCCCUUCGGGGAAAGCGGGGGGACCUUCGGGCCUCGCACUAUUAGAGCGGCCGAUAUCGGAUUAGCUGGUGGUGGGGUAACGGCUCGCAAGGCGACGAUCCGUAGCUGGUUUGAAGACGACCAGCCACACUGGGACAGAGACACGGCCCAGACUCCUGCGGGAGGCAGCAGUGGGGCGGAUUUUGGACAAUGGGGAAACCUGAUCCAGCCAUCCCGCGUGUGCGAUGAAGGCCUUCGGGUUGUAAAGCACUUUUGGCAGAAAGAAGCGGCACGGGGAUAAUACCCCGUGCAACUGACGGUACCUGCAGAAUAAGCACCGGCUAACUACGUGCCAGCAGCCGCGGUAAUACGUAAGUGCAAGCGUUAAUCGGAAUUACUGGGCGUAAAGCGUGCGCAGGCGGUUCGGAAAGAAAGAUGUGAAAUCCCAGAGCUUAACUUUGGAACUGCAUUUUUAACUACCGAGCUAGGAGUGUGUCAGAGGGAGGUGGAAUUCCGCCGUGUAGCAGUGAAAUGCGUAGAUAUGCGAGAGGAACACCGAUGGCGAAGGCAGCCUCCUGGGAUAACACUGACGCUCAUGCACGAAAGCGUGGGAGCAAACGGGAUUAGAUACCCUGGUAGUCCACGCCUAAACGAUGUCAGCUAGCUGUUGGGGCCUUCGGGCCUUGGUAGCGCAACUAACGCGUGAAGUUGGCCCGCCUGGGGAAGUACGGUCGCAAGAUUAAAACUCAAAGGAAUUGACGGGGACCCGCACAAGCGGUGGAUGAUGUGGAUUAAUUCGAUGCAACGCGAAAAACCUUACCUACCCUUGACAUGUCUGGGAUCCCGAAGAGAUUUGGGAGUGCUCGCAAGAGAACCGGAACACAGGUGCUGCAUGGCUGUCGUCAGCUCGUGUCGUGAGAUGUUGGGUUAAGUCCCGCAACGAAGGCGCAACCCUUGUCAUUAGUUGCUACGAAAGGCACUCUAAUGAGACUGCCGGUGACAAACCGGAGGAAGGUGGGGAUGACGUCAAGUCCUCAUGGCCCAUAUGGGUAGGGCUUCACACGUCAUACAAUGGUCGGGACAGAGGGUCGCCAACCGCGAGGGGAGCCAAUCAGAAACGAUCGUAGUCCGGAUCGCAGUCUGCAACUCGACUUCGUGAAGUCGGAAUCGCUGGUAAUCGCGAAUCAGCAUGUCGCGGUGAAUACGUUCCCGGGUCUUGUACCCAUCGCCCGUCACACCAUGGGAGUGGGUUUACCAGAAGUAGUUAGCCUAACCGUAAGGAGGGCGAUUACCACGGUAGGAUUCAUGACUGGGGUGAAGUCGUAACAAGGUAG